RNAcentral lists this long non-coding RNA (27556 nucleotides) under Arachis ipaensis. Its description in RNAcentral is "long non-coding RNA (AIPA_LNC000211)". Lineage: Eukaryota; Viridiplantae; Streptophyta; Magnoliopsida; Fabales; Fabaceae. The record is from RNAcentral.
AUCUGAGAAACCGAAGCUCCUGAAGAGUGCAAUGACUGAGUCGGGUUUCUCGGGACUCUUUAAAAGGACGUAUUUCGAAGCUCGAAGAGCGGAAUCUGGGAGGAACCCACAAUUGUUGACGAGGUAACUCACCGUAAAGGAUUGUUUUUCCAGGGUUUUGGUGACUGUAGCGUAAUUGGGAGCAGGGAAUGGGGAAGAAGGUGAAGGGAUCAGAAAUGAGGUUGAUGGGGUUCUUGUGAUGACUGUAAGGUGGUACAAGAACAGGUUUUUGAGACAAGAUCCCCGCAUGAGUUCUAAUUUUUUUGACGGAGUAAAAUGGGAGAAGGGAUAACCCCUAAAUAGGGAUUCAGGAGGAGAAGAAAAACGAUUUAUUAAGACGGGCUCGAUCUAAUAGUUAAAAUAUCGUGUGAAAUUAGCACUUAUUGAGUUGGGCCCACAGCCUAAGGCCCAAUAUGGCAAGAUGAAGUCCGAAGGUGCAAGCUAUCCAGGGGCAUUCUUGUCCAAUAUGUUUGACCGAUCUGGCUGCGGUUCUGACCCGCUGCUACCACGCUUACUGCACCGACUGCAUCCGCCGUUGGAGUCACGUGCGCAGAGCGUGCCCUCUCUUCCAGAACCUUCCGGCAAGCACUUCAAUGGCGUGCUAGGUAUGCUAACAACAAUACAAUUCAAUUCAACUGACUGAUAUGAUUUGGGAAUUGGGGUUUUGCCGUUUUGUAGCAUAUACAAUCAAAGGCUGCAACCUGAUUAUGCAUCCCUAAGGUUUCUUGAGCCAGGAUGCGAAGGCUUCUCUUUUUCUCCUUUCUCAUUUUCAACUCUUAGUUGCAGUUACAUUCUUACUCUCAAUGCAAUGAGUCUUUUAAGUGUUUAAAUUUUCAGAAUGGAACAAGAAAAUAUGCUGUGAAAAGGGAAAUUCUAGAACGGAUUGAACCAUGGAUAAUGAGGGAGCUACAAGAGAAGGCGGCGACAUUCAUAUUACCUGAUAUAACAUAUUGCUGUUUGUUGUAUUUAUAAUGAGUUAGCCUUAGUUAGUUCUCCCUAGUUUUGUUAGUGCAGGUUAGUGUAGUAUAUAUACAUAUGCAGUUAGUUGCUAUAUUAGUUGCUGUAAACAUUUCUUGAGGGAAGUCAUAAUGAAAGUUAACAUUUUUGGCUCAUUCUCUUCAUUGGCUCUGAAUCUGAACUUGCUUACCUCUUCCCUCACACACCUUCAAGGAUGCAAUGUUCGUUUUGUAACAAAACUGGACACAUAGUAGAUACAUGUUACAAGAAAUACGGACUUCCUCCUCAUCUAAGGCAAAGAAACACUAAACUCUGCCCCAGCAAUGAUGAUCUCGGUUUCAAUCACCCCCAGUUGGAGGAGAAGAAGACUACAGGGAGCGAUUUCACUCCAGAACAAAAGGAAGCUUUGCUGGCCUUACUCAAUAAGCAAGAAGUGCAACAUAUUCAUAGCGUGAACCACAUCUUAACUCAACCUCAGCCACCUUCUCAUGGUAAGGUGACACAUAUUCUGCAUUUUAAAUCUCACAUAAAGGCUCUUAAUGUUUGCAUACAAAAGUAUAAAUCUUGGGUAAUAGACACUGGUGCCACUGAUCAUGUGUCAUAUUGCCUCAGGGAUUUUUCUAAAACAUUUGAAAUUGAUCCGAUCAUUGUCAAACUCCCUAAUGGUACUUCCACUGUGAGCUGCAUUGUGGGAACCAUUAAGUUUUCAGAAAAUCUUUAUCUUACCAAUGCAUUGUACAUUCCUUCCUUUAACUUUAAACUCAUAUCAGUGUCGAAGCUAACUGCAUCGUUGCAUUGUAAAAUGACUUUUUCUGAUAUAAACUGUGAGAUACAGGACAAACACACAAAGAAGAUGAUUGGUAUUGCUAACUCUGUUGAUGGUCUAUACAUACUAAAUAAGCACAGCAUUGCCCCUCUUGGCGAACACUAUACUGCACACCAUAUCACAGCACCCACACAAAGAGCACACAUGCAGCAUUUAUGGCAUGAUAGAUUAGGUCAUAUUCCUAAUAAUAGACUAGCUGUUAUGAAGCAAACUUUCAAUUUCAUUGAUUGUACAAUAAAUGAAAAUCCUUGUGACUCUUGUCAAUUAGGAAAACAAAGAAGAUUGCCUUUUUCUCAAAGUGAUACUGUUUCUGAUAAUAAUCUUGAUUUGCUUCACAUUGAUAUUUGGGGACCACUUGCUAUUUCGUCUAUUGAUGGCCAUAGAUACUUUCUCACUAUAGUGGACGACAAGUCCAGAUUUACUUGGAUAAAUUUGAUGAAGUCUAAGGCUGAAGCAGCAUCUUUGGUGCAAAAUUUUGUUAAACUUGUCAAAAACCAAUUUGAAAAAUCUGUAAAAAUUAUUCGGACUGACAAUGGUCCUGAAUUUUUAAUGCCAACCUUUUAUGCUUCAUUUGGAAUUUUGCACCAAAGGUCAUGCAUUGAGACGUCACAGCAAAAUGGUGUUGUUGAACGAAAGCAUCAACACAUUUUGGCUGUGGCAAGGGUCAUUAUGUUCCACGCCCAAAUACCUAAGUAUUAUUGGAGUUUUGGAGUGAUCCACGCAGUCUAUUUGAUAAAUCGAAUUCUCACACCUCGUUUACAUGAAAAAUCUCCAUUUGAAGUAUUGCAUAAAUCACUCCCCCAUAUCUCUCACCUUAGAGUAUUUGGUUGUUUAGCAUAUGCAAGCACGAUCAAGAAUAGCAGAACAAAAUUGGACCCUCGUUCAAGAAAAUGUGUUCACCUCGGUUUCAAGGAAGGUACCAAAGGUUAUAUGCUUCUUGAUCUGAUUUCAAAAGAAAUUUUUGUCUCGAGAUGUCAAAUUCUAUGAAAAUCAUUUUCCAUAUAUUGCUUCAUCUCAGUUGCCUAUUGAUUCUCACCAAGAACCAGCUUUUCAGCAACAUAAUACACCCCACGUCAUGCAUGAUUAUGAUUUGUUUGACCACCACAUAACCGAUCUGCACACCCCUGCUUCCAAUCCACUCCACACUAGUCAACCUACACCACACAUACACACUGCCACACAACCCACAGAUAUUGAAUCCUCGAGUCCAGCAUUGCAUGCACAACCCACUCAUUCAAACAUUCAACAUCACAAUGUAUUACCAUCUUCUCACCCCACACCGAGAAGAUCAUCACGCAUUAGUAAACCACCAACAUACUUAAAAGAUUAUAAAUGCAUGAAUAUUACUGAUAAUCACAACAGAGAAACUUCUUCCAAUCAACGAUAUCACAUCUCAAAGUUUUUAUCAUACAAAUCUCUUUCACCCAUGCAUAGUGCAUACUCAUUAGCUAUCUUGAACAUUGAGCCUAAAUGCUAUGAAGAUGCCAUACUUGAACCUUGUUGGCGAGAGGCCAUCCGAGCUGAAUUGGAUGCUCUGAAUGAGAACAAAACCUGGACAUUGACUUCCUUUCCGAGUGGUAAGAAGGCGAUUGGUUGUAAGUGGAUCUUUAAGGUCAAAUAUCACCCUGAUGGUAGUGUUGAGCGACACAAGGCUCGUCUCGUGGCAAAGGGGUUCACUCAAGUCCCCGGAAUUGACUAUAAAGACACGUUUAGUCCCGUUAUCAAGCUAGGAACACUGCCGGUUGUUUUGGCACUGGCUGCUGUCAAGGGAUUGCAUUUGAAGCAAAUUGAUGUUAAUACUGCCUUUCUGCAUGGUGAGCUUGAUGAGGAAGUGUACAUGAAACCCCCCGAAGGUCUUGCGAUAGCUCCGGGUCAGGUUUGCAAGCUUGAAAAGUCUCUAUAUGGGCUUAAACAAGCUAGUAGACAAUGGAACUUCAAACUGAAAUCUGUUCUGCUAGAGUUAGGAUAUAAUCAGGGAAAAUCUGAUUACAGCAUGUUUACUAAAUCCCAAAGUACUGGUUUUACAGUCAUUUUGGUUUAUGUUGACGAUUUAGUGUUGGCAGGGGACGAUUUGUUUGAAAUUGGAAGGGUGAAACAGACUUUGCAUGACAGAUUUCGGAUUAAGGACAUAGGUGAUCUCAAGUUCUUCCUUGGCUUAGAGGUUGCUAGGUCUUCAAGAGGCAUAGCUUUAUAUCAGCGAAAAUAUGUUCUAGAUCUCUUGCGGGACACUGGAUUUGAGCAUUGUAAGCCUGUCUCCACUCCCAUGGACUAUGGGGCGAAAUUGAGCAAGGAUAAUGGAGAUAGUUUGCCUGAUUCCUCUUAUUAUAGGAAAAUCAUUGGAAAACUGUUGUAUCUCUCAAACACAAGGCCGGAUAUAAGCUUUGCAAUUGGCAAGCUCAGCCAAUUCUUGGAUUGUCCCACAACUAAUCACUUGCAAGCAGCACAUAGGAUCCUCAGGUACAUAAAGAACUCUCCGGCAGCGGGGCUGUUCUUCUCGGCCAAUUCCGAUAUAUCUCUCACUGGAUUUUCUGAUUCUGACUGGGCUGGAUGCCCCGACUCGUGACGAUCGGUUUCAGCCUAUUGCUUCUAUAUGGGUUCCUCCCUUGUCACUUGGAAGAGCAAGAAGCAAGUAACCGUCGCAGCUUCUUCCUCUGAGGCAGAAUAUCAGGCUCUUGCACUGGCCACCAGAGAGGCUCAAUGGCUUAGUUAUGUGUUGAAAGACUUAGGAGCACCUCUUGGUAAACCUGUGAAUUUGUACUGUGAUAGUAAAUCUGCCAUUUAUAUUGCUACUAACCCAGUAUUUCACGAGCGUACAAAGCAUAUCGAGGCUGAUUGUCACAUUGUGAGGGAUAAAUUGCAAGAAGGCUUAAUUCAUCUUUUACCAAUUUCUACACAUGAACAAGUCGCAGACAUCAUGACUAAGCCUCUGGCACCAGGACCGUUCAACAUAUUGUGUAGCAAGCUUGGGUUGUUGGACAUUUUUAUGCCCAACCCUCCCAGCUUGAGGGAGGGUAUUACCUGAUAUAACAUAUUGCUGUUUGUUGUAUUUAUAAUGAGUUAGCCUUAGUUAGUUCUCCCUAGUUUUGUUAGUGCAGGUUAGCGUAGUAUAUAUACAUAUGCAGUUAGUUGCUGUAAACAUUUCUUGAGGGAAGUCAUAAUGAAAGUUAACAUUUUUAGCUCAUUCUCUUCAUUGGCUCUGAAUCUGAACUUGCUUACCUCUUCCCUCACACACCUUCAACAAUUCAUGUUGGACCUCUUAGUCCAUUCCUACAUGAUAAAGCCAGCAUCUUUUGGCAUGAGCUAAGGUACUUGACUCUCUUGAUUCUGUUGGUAAGAAUGUUGUUGCCCUUAAUUUUCAAUUGGUAAGAGGGUUGUCACAACAUGGAUACCUACGAUGAACAAUUACUGUUGGUGAUGAUGCCUUCCCACAACUAUGAAUUAUGAUACCAAAUCUCUUGGUGAUGAUGCUUAUUCGUGUUCCUUGUUGGUGUUGGUGCAUGUUGCAAACUUUCAGUAGCAUCCGAACAAGUGUACAACAUUUGUAUGAUAAUAAUAAUACUGUCAAACAUUUAAAAAGAACAUGUGUUGCUGAUUCACGUCCAAUUCAAUCCGUUUCCUACGAUGUCAAAUGUAAUUAGUUCAAGGUGUGUUGGUGUAAAAAGACCAGCCUUGUAAAUAAUAUUUAUGCACAUCGACUGUAGCAUCUCUAUUAAAUGGUAAUUUGUGUAGCCAAGCUGAUAAAUCUUUGUGCAUGGACAUGAUAAAUCUAGCAUCUGCAAUUGAACAUGGUUCUGGUAGGAAAUCUUUGUCAGAGUCCCUGGUUCAAGAUUCUAAUUUCCCACAUACCAAUCUCUCUUCCCUUCCCAAGCAAUUCAAGCUCGACAAAGAAUACAAUACAGAUGUCAAGAUUGACAAGAACUCUGAUCAAGGUUCUUUCCCUCCGGUAAAACACAUCUAAAUAUCAUUAGUAUUUAUUAUUCCAAAAUAUGUCUGAUAAAAGUGGGGCGGGGGUAGAUGAAACACGAUAGUAGUUUAAUUUGUCAUACAUUUCAGGCAGCAGAUCAGAGAAGAAAUGAAGUUGAUUAUGGUAAUCAUGGAGCAAAGAUGAAUGUGGAGGAAAAACAGUUAUUGCCAUCUGAAAUUUUAAAUCAGCAAAACCAAGGAUUUGAAAACAUCAGACUAGAAGGCGAUGAUGCUUCAUUUCUUGAAAGCAAUAAAUUCUGAUCUGUGUCUACUUCAAGUUUGUACCAUUACUAUGAAAGUAAAAUGGCGGCUCUGAUAAGGAAAAAUGGAAUUCUAGAGGGACAACUGGCGGCUUCCCUCGCAAACAAAGAAGCCGCAGAGAAAAGCUUAGCAUCUGCUAUUAAAAGCCGGAACGAAAUGGAGACAAAACUAGGUGAGGCAGUGAAGGAGAUGGAAUCACUGAGAGAAAAGCUGGGGUUUUAGAGUUAGCACAAGAAGAGGCCAACAACCUAUCAAGCAUGGUCCAUUCGGAUAAUGUACGGCUCGAACACGAUGUGGCCUUCCUCAAGGCUGUUUUAGAUGAUACACAAAAGGUACAUAACAUUAACACACUUUGAUGGAAAAAAGCAUUUGGAUCAAUCAUUUUAUACAAUAAUGUAAUCGGCUGAUUGAGUUUUUGUUGUAGGAGCUGCACUCAACCAGAGGUGUGAUUGCUGGAGAGAGAGCCAGGGCAUUCCAACUACAGGUAUAAAUAUAACUAUUUGUAUUGAUUACUAGCCUUAGCUGUAUCAUUCAUAACAUCACUUUCUUGUUGUACACACAGUACGAAGUAUUUCAUCUCAAACAGAGAUUGCAAUCAGUGGAGAAUCGAGAACCUACUCCAAGGAAACCUUUUGAUCUGCAGUGAAGUGAAGUGGGUAGUUGAAGAGUAGUUACUAAUAACCAUUUAAAUCAGUUAAUGUGAUCUUUAUUUUAUUUUAUUUUUAACAAUUUGUGAUCUAGUGAUAUAGUGGGUAAUGGUAACUGCCAUUAUGUUAAGGGGAAUAAACUAACAGGUAGAGGAAUGUAAAAAUGGUAUUUGUCUUUUUCUCUUAUUUAACGAUAAAUAAAUCUUUGACUUUUUAAUUCGAAGACAGGAGUUAUUUGUCUUUGACUUAAUAAAUUAGAAAUCUGUUUGUCCUUUUCUCUUAUUUUAUUUAACUAAAAAUCCAAUUCCAGUUGCCACCUUAAAAGUUCUGAUAUUGUUUAUUGCUCCUGAAUAUUGAAAAACUAAUGAACUAUAACCAGCAAAAUGAAUGCAAAAUAUCAAAGGAGAACUCAUAGGCAUCAAGACAUCAAUUUACUAUCCAUUACUGGAAGAUUCAUUUUCUCAUUAUACAGCGUCAAUAAGUCGGGAGCAUGAUCCUUGUCACGAUUAACAUACUUCUUAAAAAACUCCUCUUCAGAAACAAAAUAUGCAGAAGCAUGCCUGCCACUCUUAAUGACACCAUUGGAGAUAAGAAUCUUCAUGACAGCAGCCCUCGGAACAAUCCUUUUGUCCAAAUCCAGCGAGAGAAGAACCGGAUUAUUGGUUACUUCAGCAGUCUCCCAACCGAGUUCUUUGACAAAGAAUCCAACGCAGGCCUCAAUUUUCUGCACAGAUUUCAGCAUACAGAAAGGGUGCUUCACAAAAGCCUCACGAAUGUUGUCAUCAGUUAAUCCAAAACUCUUGUACAACUCAACUUUCUUAUCCCACAUGGACUUUGGAAGAAACUUAGCAUACAAUGCAGCAACAAAAUUAGCCUUGUUGGGAUCAACCCCCAUUUUAAUGACUUCAUCUACUAUACUCUUGAGGCGAACUUCAGAAUUGAAUACAAGCAAGCAAGGCCACUGGCGAAUUAGCCAUGACAUGCUUAUCUCACGGACUCCUAAAUCAACCAACAAGUUAAUAUUUCGAAGCGUCUUAGAAUAAGUUAAAAUUCGGACAGCGCGUAAGAUAGAAGCAACGGUCCUUUCUUCAGAACGAAUGAAAUUGUUCAAAAAAUCGAAAGUGGGGAUCAGGUGUUUCUCUAAGCUUCUUUUCAAGAUUAGAGGGUUGAGCUCAAUGAUGCGGGCAAGUUGGGAUUUUGAAGCACCUUUGGAGAUGAGGAACUCGAGCUUGGGCAAGAUGGUCUCUUUGGGUUUGCUGACGAGAACCUUGGGUGAUCUCCGAAUGACAUUGUGAAACUGCAAAUCUGUGAAACCGAAGCUCCUGAAGAGUGCGAUGACUGAGUCGGGUUUCUCGGGACUCUUUAAAAGGACGUAUUUGGAAGCACGAAGAGCGGAAUCUGGGAGGAACCCACAAUUUUCCACGAGGUAAUUCACCGUAAAGGAUUGUUUUUCCAGGGUUUUUGUGACUGUAGCGUAAUUGGGAGCAGGGAAUGGGGAAGAAGGUGAAGGGAUCAGAAAUGAGGUUGAUGGGGUUCUUGUGAUGACAGUAAGGUCGUACAAGAACAGGUUUUUGAGACAAGAUCCCAGCAUGAGUUCUUAUUUUUUUGACAGAGUAAAAUGGGAGAAGGGAUAAACCCUAAAUAGGGAUUCAGAAGGAGAAGAAAAACGAUCUAUUAAGACGGGCUCGAUCUAAUAGUUAAAAUAUCGUGUGAAAUUAGCACUUAUUGAGUUGGGCCCACAGCCUAAGGCCCAAGAUGGCAAGAUGAAGUCCGAAGGUGCAAGCUAUCCAGGGGCAUUCUUGUCCAAUACGUUUGACCGAUCUGGCUGCGGUACUGCACCGACUACAUCCGCCGUUGGAGUCACGUGCGCAGAGCGUGCCCUCUCUUCCAGAACCUUCCGGCAAGCACUUCAAUGGCGUGCUAGGUAUGCUAACAACAAUUCAAUUCAAUUGACUGAUAUGAUUUGGGAAUUGGGAUUUUGUAGCAUAUACAAUCAAAGGCUACAACCUGAUUAUGCAUCCUUAAGGUGUCUUGAGCCAGGAUGCAUAGGCUUCUCUUUUUCUCCUUUCUCAUUUUCAACUCUUAGUUGCAGUUACAUUCUUACUCUCAAUGCAAUGAGUCUUUAACUGUUUAAAUUUUUAGAAUGGAACAAAAAAAGAUGCUGUGAAAAGGGAAAUUCUAGAACAGGUUGAACCAUGGAUAAUGAGUGAGCUACAAGAAAAGGCGGCGACAUUCAUGUUGGACCUCUUAGUCCAUUCCUACAUGAUAAAGCCACCAUCUUUUGGCAUGAGUUAAGGUACUUGACUCUCUUGAUUCUCUUGGUAAGAAUGUUGCUGCCCUUAAUUUUCAAUUGGUAAGAGGGAUGUCACAACAUGGAUACCUACGAUAAACAAUAGGAGUGAGUGGACAACACACAUUAGCUGUUGCUGUUGGUGCUGAUGCCUUCCCACAACUAUGAAUUAUGAUACCAAAUCUCUUGGUGAUGAUGCUUAUGGUAGGGUACGAUGCAACUGACUUUUAUAAUGACUUAAAAAAAAGAAAUGAAAGUACAGCAAUGAAAAAUGGUUCUGCAACUCUUCAAUGAAACAGUACAAAAAGGAACUAUUAAAAGGUAGUCAUUGUAAAAGUAAGCAAAAGAUAAUAAAGCGGUAUAAUAAUCGAAGAGAAUCGCAGGAUAGCUUCCAAGAUUCAGCAAUGUCCUGGGAAAGGGAGAAAGAAAAUUCAAAAUGAUUUCAGAGAAGGUAUAGAGAGAGAGGUUCAGAGAGAGUCAAAGAAAGUAAGAGAGAGAUGACCAAUUACCACAAGUUCGUUACCCAACAAACUCCUCCAGCCUCCUAUUAAAAGUUCUUUUUCUCUUACCUUUUCUCACUUCCUGAAUUGGUGGAUUUUACGCCAUCUGUCCACUCUGCAUAACUAACUCCUUUUCUUCAUUGAGUGCCAGCUGCUCCUUAUUAUUGGAGACUAAUUCAUCAUUAAUUUCCCUAAUUGUCGUAGCUUUAUUUUUCUCCCUUACAUUACCCUCCCCAUUAACAUCAACCUUGCCCUCAAGGUUGAAUUGAGGAUGCAUCUUGAGGAAUUCACUAACCAAUUCCCAAGUAAAUUCAGCCGCUGUACCUUGUCCCCAUUGCACUUUCAACUGCUGUUUCUCAGGGGAAGUGGCAAAUAUUGUUGUUGUUGGUCACCGCGAAACUUUUUUAACACAGAGUUGUGAAAGGUGUUGUGAGGUGUUGUGAAUUCUAGCGUGGGCAGGUGAUGAGCGAAUAAUUUAUACGCUUUUUGGCAUUGUUUUUAGUAUGUUUUUAGUAUAUUUUAGUAAGUUUUUAUUAUGCUUUUAUUAGUUUUUAUUUAAAAAUCACAUUUCUGGACUUUACUAUGAGUUUGUGUGUUUUUUUGUGAUUUCAGGUAUUUUCUGGCUGAAAUUGAGGGACCUGAGCAAAAAUAUGAUUUAGAGGCUGAAAAAGGACUGCAAAUGCUGUUGGAUUCUGACCUCCCUGCACUCGAAGUGGAUUUUCUAGAGCUACAAAAGCCCAAUUGAUGCGCUCUCAAUUGCGUUGGAAAGUAGACAUUCUGGGAUUUCCAGAAAUAUAUAAUAGUCCAUACUUUUUUCAAGAUUUGAUGGCCCAAACCGGCGUUCCAUGUCAGCUUAAGAAUUCUGGCGUCAAAACGCCAGAACUGGCACAAAAGUUGGAGUUAAACGCCCAAAUUGGCACAAAAGCUGGCGUUUAACUCCAAGAAAAGUCUCUACAUGUGAAAGCUUCAAUGCUCAGCCCAAGUACACACCAAGUGGGCCCGGAAGAAGAUUUCUGCAUUAAUUACUUAUUUUUGUAAACCCUAGGCUACUAGUUCUCUAUAAAUAAGACCUUUUACUAUUGUAUUUUCAUCUUGGUUCUUCAGGUUCCCUCUUUGGGGCCGAAGCCAAUGACCACCAUUAUCACUUUUGUAUUUUCAACGGUGGAGUUUCUACACACCAUAGAUUAAGGUGUGGAGCUCUGCUGAUAUCUUUAUUUUAUGUUUUAUUUAUCUUUAAUUAUCAAUUCUCCAUAACCAUUUGAAUCCGCCUGACUGAGAUUUACAAGAUGACCAUAGCUUGCUUCAAGCCGACAGUCUCCGUGGGAUCGACCCUUACUCACGUAAGGUAUUACUUGGACGACCCAGUGCACUUGCUGGUUAGUUGUGCGGAAUUGUGACAAAGUGUAAUUCACGUUUGAGAGCUCCAAGUCUUUGGCGCCAUUGUUGAUGAUCACAAUUUCGUGCACCAAGUUUUUGGCGCCGUUGUCGGGGAUUGUUCGAGUUUGGACAACUGACGGUUCAUCUUGUUGCUUAGAUUAGGUACUUUUUAUUUUUAAGAAUUUUUAAGAAUGAAUUCUAGAGUUUCAAGGUGAUGUUCUUAUCAUCACAAAAGCUGAUUGAUUCUCAUCAAUUUAGCUNNNNNNNUGGCUAACCAUGUCUAAUCUUUUUAGACUGAAGCUUUAGACUAACAUUGCAUGAUUCCUGGAAUUCUUAUUAAAAGUUUUGAAUCUCUUUAUUCUCUUUUCCAUAUAAUUUUCGAAAAAUCACAAAAUUUUUUUUAUAAAAUCAUAAAAUCAAAAAUAUUUUUAUGUCUCUUGUUUGAGUCUAGUGUCUAAUUUUUAAGUUUGGUGUCAAUUGCAUGUUUCUAUUCUUCUUGCAUUUUUCAAAUAUAUGCAUUAUGUUCUUCAUUGAUCUUCAAGUUGCUCUUGAUGAUUUCCUAGCUCUGAUCUUUAAAUUCUCUUGUUUUGUGUGUUUUGUUGUUUCUUACAUGCAUUUUCAAAUUGUUAUAGUCCUUAGUAUACAAACCUCUAAGUUUGGUGUCUUGCAUGCAUUGUUUAUUUGAUCUUAGUUGCAUUUUUUAUUGUUUCUCAUCAUUAAAAAUUCAAAAAUAUUUUCAAAAUUGUGUCUUUUCAAGUCAAUAAUACAGAGAAUUGAAGAUUCAGAACAUUCAGCAGAGGAAUUAAACAGAAAAAGCUGGGCAUUCAAAACGCCUAGUGAAGAAGGAAAACUGGCGUUUAAACGCCAGCCAGGGUACCUGGCUGGGCGUUUAACGCCUAAAAAGGUAGCAUUUUGGGCGUUAAACGCCAGAAUGGAUGCCAUUCUGGGCGUUUAACGCCAGGAGGACACUAGAGAGAAGAUUUUGUUUUUAAUUCAAAUUUUUUUCAAAUCUUCAUAAUUUUUCAAAAUCAAAUCUUUUUCAAAUCAUAUCUUUUCAAUCAUAUCUCUUCAAAAUCAAUUUCUUUCCAUUUUUUAUUUAUUAUUAUUUUCGAAAAUCCUUGCUACAAUUAAUGAUUUACUUCAAAAUUUUCAAGUUGUUACUUGCCUAUUAAGAAAGGAUCAAAUUUUAAAUUUUAGAAUCAUAUCUUUUAAUUUCUUGUUAGUCAAGUAAUCAACUUUAAUUUUAAAACUUUCUUUUUUAAUUUGAUUUUCAAUCAUAUCUUCUCAAUCAUAUCUUUUCAAUCACAUCUUUUUCAAAAUUAAUUUUCAGUCAUAUCUUUUUAAUUUCUAAUUUCAAAAUCUUUUUCAAAAUCACUUAAUUUCUUUCCCAAUCUUAAUUUUCGAAAAUCUCAAUCAAAUUUUCAAAUUUUUUUUAUUAUUUUAAAAAUCUUUUACUUUAAUUUCGAAAAUUCUUCCCCUCUUCUCACAUCCUUCUAUUUAAGGGACUAACACUCCUCCUCAAGGUGCAAUUCGAACCCUACCCUUCUUGAUAAGUUCGAAUUCUCUUCUAUCUACCUUCUCCUUCUAUUCUUCUUUUCCUCUGACACCUCAAGGAAUCUCUAUACUGUAACAUAGAGGAUUCAUACUUUCUUAUUCUCUUCUCUUUCAUAUGAGCAAGAGCAAAGACAAAGGCAUCCUUGUUAAAGCUGAUCCUGAAUCUGAAAGGACCUUGAAGAGAAAGCUAAGAGAAGCUAAAGUACAAAUCUCUCUAGAGGGCCUAACAGAGCUCUUCAAGGAGGAAGAAGCCAUGGCAGCCGAAAACAACAAUGCCAAUAAUGCAAGGAAGGUGCUUGGUGACUUUACUGCACCUACUCCCGACGAAUCCCUCUAUGAAGCUUGGGAAGGAUACAAGCAAUUGAUCAGAAGGUGUCCUUCUGACAUGCUUUCUGAAUGGAGCAUCAUAGGUAUCUUAUAUGAUGGUCUAUCUGAACUGUCCAAGAUGUCAUUAGACAGCUCUGCUGGAGGAUCUCUUCAUCUGAAGAAGACGCCUGCAGAAGCUCAGGAACUCAUUGAAAUGGUUGCAAAUAACCAAUUCAUGUACACUUCUGAAAGGAACCCUGUGAAUAAUGGGAUAAAUCAGAAGAAAGAAGUUCUUGAGAUUGAUACUCUGAAUGCCAUACUGGCUCAGAAUAAAAUAUUGACUCAGCAAGUCAAUAUGAUUUCUCAAAGUCUGUCUGGAAUGCAAGCGGCACCAGGCAGUACUAAGGAAGCUUCCCCUGAAGAAGAAGCUUAUGAUCUUGAGAACCCAGCAAUGGAAGAGGUGAAUUACAUGGGAGAACCCUAUAGAAACACCUAUAAUCCUUCAUGGAGAAAUCAUCCAAAUCUCUCAUGGAAGGAUCAACAGAGACCUCAACAAGGUUUCAACAACAGUAAUGGUGGAAGAAACAGGUUUAGCAAUAGCAAGCCUUUUCCAUCAUCUUCUCAGCAACAGACAGAGGAUUCUAAGCAGAGCCACUCUGACUUAGCAACUAUAGUCUCUGAUCUAAUUAAAAUCACUCAAAGUUUCAUGACUGAAACAAGGUCCUCCAUUAGAAAUUUGGAGGCACAAGUGGGUCAGCUGAGUAAGAAAAUUACUGAACUCCCUCCUAGUGCUCUUCCAAGUAAUACAGAAGAAAAUCCAAAGAGAGAGUGCAAGGCCUUAAACACGUCUCACAUGGCCGAACCUGGAGAAGAGGAAGAGGCAAUGAUCUCCACUGAGGAAGACCUCAAUGGACGUCCACUGGCCUCCAUGGAAUUCCCUGAUGAGAAACCAUGGGAAUCUGAGGCUCACAUAGAGACCAUAGAGAUUCCAUUGAAUUUACUCCUGCCAUUCAUGAGCUCUGAUGAGUAUUCUUCCUCUGAAGAGGAUGAAGAUGUUACUGAAGAGCAAGUUGCUAAGUACCUUGGAGCAAUCAUGAAGCUAAAUGCCAAGUUAUUUGGUAAUGAGACUUGGGAGGAUGAACCUCCCUUGCUCACCAAAGAACUGAAUGACUUGACUAGGCUGAGAUUACCUCAAAAGAGACAUGAUCCUGGAAAGUUCUCAAUACCUUGUACCAUAGGCACCAUGACCUUUGAGAAGGCUCUGUGUGACCUAGGGUCAAGUAUAAACCUCAUGCCUCUCUCUAUAAUGGAGAAGCUAGGGAUCAUUGAGGUACAAGCUGCAAGAAUCUCACUAGAGAUGACAGACAAUUCAAGGAAAUAGGCUUAUGGACUUGUAGAGGAUGUCUUGGUAAAGGUUGAAGACCACUACAUCCCUGCUGAUUUCAUAAUCCUAGAGACUGGGAAGUGUAUGGAUGAAUCCAUCAUCCUUGGUAGACCCUUCCUAGCCACAGCAAAAGCUAUAAUUGAUGUUAACAGAGGAGAAUUGAUCAUUCAAGUGAAUGAAGACUCCCUUGUGUUUAAAGCUCAAGGAUAUCCCUCUGUAACCAUGGAGAGGAAGCAUGAAGAGCUUCUCUCAAUACAGAGACAAACAGAGCCUCCACAGUCAAACUCUAAGUUUGGUGUUGGGAGGCCACAACCAAACUUUAAGUUUGGUGUUGAACCCCCACAUUCAAACUCUAAAGUUUGGUGUUGGGAGGUUCCAACAUUGCUCUAAACAUCUGUGAGGCUCCAUGAGAGCCCACUGUCAAGCUAUUGACAUUAAAGAAGUGCUUGUUGGGAGGCAACCCAAUCUUUAAUUAUCUAUGUUAAAUUUCUAUUUUCUUUUGUUAUUUUAUGUUUUUUGUAGGUUGAUGAUCGUGUGAAAUCACAAAAAUAAUUGAAAAAGAAAAAACAGACUGAAAAACAGAAUGAAAAAUAGAACACCCUGGAGGAGAAACUUAUUGGCGUUUAAACGCCAGUAAAGGUAGCAGAAUGGGCGUUAAACGCCCAGUCUGGCACCAUUUUGGGUGUUUAACGCCAGAAAUGGGCACCAGACUGGCGUUUAACGCCAGAAAUGGGCAAGAAGCUGGCGUUAAGCGCCAGAAAUGGGCAGCAGCCUGGCGUUUAACGCCAGGACUGGCAGAAAGGGGCAUUUUCGCACGCCACUUGGUGCAGAGAUGAGAUAUCCCUGACACCUCAGGAUCUGUGGACCCCACAGGAUCCCCACCUACCCCACCUCUCUCUCUCUUCUUUACCCAUUCACCAAUCACCUCAAUACCUCUUCCCCAAAAACCUCUCACCUAUCAAAUCCCACAAUUCUCUUCACCACUCACAUCCAUCCUUCAUAAAACCCCACCUACCUCACCAUUCAAAUUCAAACCACUUUCCCACCCAAACCCACCCAUAAUGGCCGAACCAUACCCCCCUCUCCACUCCUAUAUAAACCCAUCUUCACUCCUUCAUUUUCACACAACAUACACACUACUUCUCCCCCUUGGUCGAAACACUAAGCCCCUUCCAUCUCCUCUAUUUCUUCUUCUUCUACUCUCUUCUUUCUUCUUUUGCUCGAGGACGAACAAACCUUCUAAGUUUGGUGUGGUAAAAGUGUUGCUUUUUGUUUUUCCAUAACUAUUUAUGGCACCUAAGGCCGGAGAAACCUCUAGAAAGAGGAAAGGGAAGGCAAAAGCUUCCACCUCCGAGUCAUGGGAGAUGGAGUGAUUCAUCUCAAGGGUGCACCAAGACCACUUCUAUGAAGUUGUGGCCAAGAAGAAGGUGAUCCCCGAGGUCUCUUUCAAACUCACAAAGGGUGAAUAUCCGGAGAUCCGACAUGAGAUUCGAAGAAGAGGUUGGGAAGUUCUCACCAACCCCAUUCAACAAGUCGGAAUCUUAAUGGUUCAAGAGUUCUAUGCCAAUGCAUGGAUCACCAAGAACCAUGAUCAAAGUGUGAACCCGGACCCAAAGAAUUAGCUUACAAUAGUUCGGGGGAAAUGCUUAGAUUUUAGUCCGGAGAAUGUAAGGUUGGCAUUCAACUUGCCCAUGAUGCAAGGAGAUGCACACCCUACACUAGAAGGGUCAACUUUUAUCAAAGGUUGGACCAAGUCCUCAUAGACAUCUGUGAAGAGGGCGCUCAAUGGAAGAGAGAUUCAAGAGGGAAGCCGGUUCAACAAUGAAGGCAUGACCUCAAGCCCGUGGCUAGGGAAUGGUUGGAGUUCAUUCAACACUCAAUUAUUCCCACUAGUAACCGGUCUGAAGUUACUAUAGACCGGGCUAUCAUGAUCCAUAGCAUCAUGAUUAAGGAGGAAGUAGAAGUUCAUGAAGUUAUAUCCCAAGAACUCUACAAGGUGGCGGACAAGUCCUCUACUUUGGCAAGGUUAGCCUUCCCUCAUCUCAUUUGUCACCUCUGCAAUUCAGCUGGAAUUGACAUAGAGGAAGACAUCCUCAUUGAUGAGGAUAAGCCCAUCACUAAGAAAAGGAUGGAGCAAACAAAAGAUCCCACUCAUGGACAUGAGGAAAUUCCUCAUCAUGAAAUCCCUGAGAUGCCUUAAGGGAUGCAUUUUCCUCCACAAAACUAUUGGGAGCAAAUCAACACCUCCCUAGGAGAACUAAGUUCUAACAUGGGACAACUAAGGGUGGAGCACCAAGAGCAUUCCAUCCUCCUCCAUGAAAUUAGAGAAGACCAAAGAGUCAUGAGAGAGGAGCAACAAAGGCAAGGAAGAGACAUUGAGGAGCUUAAGCACUCCAUUAGAUCUUCAGGAGGAAGAACAAGCCGCCAUCACUAAGGUGGACCCGUUCUUUAAAUUCCUUGUUCUUUAUUUUCUAUUUUUCGAAAAUUAUGCUUUAUGUUUAUCUAUGUUUGUGUCUUUAUUACAUGAUCAUUAGUGUCUUAGUGUCUAUGCCUUGAAGCUAUGAAAAUGAAUCCAUCACAUUUCUUAAAUGAAAAAUAUUUUUAAUUGAAAAAGAAAAAGAAGUGCAUGAAUUUCAAAUUUUAAAACAGUUUAGUUAUUUUGAUGUGGUGGCAAUGCUAUUGUUUUUCUGAAUGAAUGCUUGAACAGUGCAUAUUUUUUGAAUUUGUUGAUUCAUGAAUGUUAAAAUUGUUGGCUCUUGAAAGAAUGAUGGAAAAGGAGAAAUGUUAUUUGAUAAUCUGAAAAAACAUAAAAUUGAUUCUUGAAGCAAGAAAAAGCAGUGAAAAGCUUGCAGAAAAAAAUAAAUAUAUGCGAAAAAAAUGCGAAAAAAGAAAAAAAAAAGAGAAAGAAAGAAAAAGAAAAAGCAAGCAGAAAAAACCAAUAGCCCUUUAAACUAAAAGGCAAGGUAAAAUAAAAAGGAUCCAAGGCUUUGAGCAUCAGUGGAUAGGAGGGCCCACAGGAAUAAAUUCCUGGCCUAAGCGGCUAAACCAAGCUGUCCCUAACCAUGUGCUUGUGGCGUGAAGGUGUCAAGUGAAAACAUGAGACUGANNNNNNNNNNNNNNNNNNNNNNNNNNNNNNNNNNNNNNNNNNNNNNNNNNNNNNNNNNNNNNNNNNNNNNNNNNNNNNNNNNNNNNNNNNNNNNNNNNNNNNNNNNNNNNNNNNNNNNNNNNNNNNNNNNNNNNNNNNNNNNNNNNNNNNNNNNNNNNNNNNNNNNNNNNNNNNNNNNNNNNNNNNNNNNNNNNNNNNNNNNUGAGCGGUUAAAGUCGUGGUCCAAAAGCAAAAAGAGUGUGCUUAAGAGCUCUGGACACCUCUAAUUGGGGACUCUAGCAAAGCUGAGUCACAAUCUGAAAAGGUUCACCCAGUUAUGUGUCUGUGGUAUUUAUGUAUCGGGUGGUAAUACUGGAAGACAAAAUGCUUUAGGUCACGGCCAAGACUCAUAAAGUAGCUGUGUUCAAGAAUCAACAUACUUAACUAGGAGAAUCAAUAACACUAUCUGGAUUCUGAGUUCCUAUAGAAGCCAAUCAUUUUGAACUUCAAAGGAUAAAGUGGGAUGGCAAAACUGUUCAGAAGCAAAAAGCUAAAAGCCCCGCUCAUCUAAUUAAUACUAAUCUUCAUAGAUAUUUUUGGAAUUCAUUGUAUAUUCUCUUCUUUUUAUCCUAUUUGAUUUUCAGUUGCCUGGGGACAAGCAACAAUUUAAGUUUGGUAUUGUGAUGAGCGGAUAAUUUAUACGCUUUUGGCAUUGUUUUUAGUAUGUUUUUAGUAUAUUUUAGUCAGUUUUUAUUAUGCUUUUAUUAGUUUUUAUUUAAAAAUUACAUUUCUUGAAUUUACUAUGAGUUUGUGUGUUUUUCUGUGAUUUCAGGUAUUUUCUGGCUGAAAUUGAGGGACCUGAGCAAAAAUUUGAUUCAGAGGCUAAAAAAGGACUGCAGAUGCUGUUGGAUUCUGACCUCCCUGCACUCGAAGAUGAUUUUCUGGAGCUACAGAAACCCAAUUGGCACGCUCUCAAUUGCGUUGGAAAGUAGACAUCCUGGGCUUUCCAGCAAUAUAUAAUAGUUCAUACUUUUUUCAAGAUUUGAUGGCCCAAACCGGCGUUCCAAGUCAGCUUAAGAAUUCUGGCAUCAAAACGCCAGAACUGGCACAAAAGCUGGAGUUAAACGCCCAAACUGGCACAAAAGCUGGCGUUUAACUCCAAGAAAAGUCUCUACAUGUGAAAGCUUCAAUGCUCAGCCCAAGCACACACCAAGUGGGCCCGAAAGAAGAUUUCUGCAUUAAUUACUUAUUUCUGUAAACCCUAGGCUACUAGUUCUCUAUAAAUAGGACCUUUUACUAUUGUAUUUUCAUCUUGGUUCUUCAGGUUCCCUCUCUGGGGCCAAAGCCAAUGACCACCAUUAUCACUUUUGUAUUUUCAAUGGUGGAGUUUCUACACACCAUAGAUUAAGGUGUGGAGCUCUGUUUUUCUUCCUGAAUUAAUGCAAAGUACUACUGUUUUUCUAUUCAAUUCACGCCUACUUCUUCUCUAAGAUAUUCAUUCGCACACAAGAACAUGAUGAAUGUGAUGAUUAUGUGACACUUAUCACCAUUCUCACCUAUGAACGCGUGUCUGACAACCACUUCCGUUCUACAUGCAAACAAGCUUGAAUGUGUAUCUCUUGGAUUUCUAAUCUAAGAUUAGAACCUUCGUGGUAUAGGCUAGAAUUAUUGGCGGUCAUUCUUGAGAUCCGGAAAGUCUAAACCUUGUCUGUGGUAUUCCGAGUAGGAUCUGGGAAGGGAUGACUGUGACGAACUUCAAACUCGCGAGUGUUGGGCGUGUGACAGACGCAAAAGGAUCAAUGGAUCCUAUUCCAACAUGAUCGAGAACCGACAGAUGAUUAGCCGUGCGGUGACAGCGUGCGUAGAACAUUUUCACUGAGAGGAGGGGAAGUAACCAUUGAGAACGGUGAUGCCCAACAUAAAGCUUGCCAUGGAAAGGAGUAUGAAUGAUUGGAAGAAGGCAAUAGGAAAACAGAGGUUCAGAAGGAACAAAGCAUCUUUAUACGCUUAUCUGAAAUUCCUACCAAUGAAUUACAUAAGUAUCUCUAUCUCUAUCUUUAUUUUAUGUUUUAUUUAUCUUUAAUUAUCAAUUCUCCAUAACCAUUUGAAUCCGCCUGACUGAGAUUUACAAGAUGACCAUAGCUUGCUUCAAGCCGACAGUCUUCGUGGGAUCGACCCUUACUCACGUAAGGUAUUACUUGGACGACCCAGUGCACUUGCUGGUUAGUUGUGCGGAAUUGUGACAAAGUGUGAUUCAUGUUUGAGAGCUCCAAGUCUUUGGCACCAUUGUUGAUGAUCACAAUUUCGUGCACCAGCAGGCAACUCAAGCUUAUAAGCUACUGAACUCAACUUCUGACAGAUUUUAAAUGGCCCAAAAUAUUUCAUACCCAGCUUCUGGUGUUUUCUCAAAGCUGCGGAAUGCUGGCGAUACGGUUGCAACUUAACUAACACCAAUUCACCUUCUGCCAACUCUGAAUCCCUUCGAUUUCUAUCUGCAUAUGUCUUCAUAAAUUGCUGUGAUCUAGUCAUAUUAGUCUUUAGUUGUUCCAACAGUUUGUCGCGCACUAUCAGCAACUCUUGUAAUGAAGGUUCAUCCAGCGGGGAAAGCUCGUAGCGAAUAAGAGAGGGGGGGUCCCUACCAAAUAGAGCUUUAUAAGGAGACAUAUUUAUGCUGCUGUGAAAAGAAGUAUUGUACCAAUACUGUGCCCACAGAAGCAUCUCAAACCAUUUCCAUGGAUUGUCAAAACAAUAGCACCUCAAGUACAUCUCUAGAGUCUUGUUAAGCACCUCACUUUGACCAUCGGUCUCAGGAUGAUAUGCAGAACUCAUCGCUAAGGUUGUGCCUUGCAGCUUGAACAAUUGUUGCCAAAACUUGCUAAUAAAGACCUUAUCCCGAUCGGAGACGAUGGAUUUAGGGAACCCAUGCAACUUAACCACAUUAGUGACGAAAACCUCUGCUACAAUACGACUGUUAAAGUCAUAUUUCAAAGGUAGGAAGUGGGCAAACUUGGUGAGUCUAUCUAUGACUACCAUGAUAACAAAGAAUCCAUGUGAUGGAGGCAAGGCAGUAAUAAAAUCCAUACAAAUAUCAUCCCACACUUGAGCAGGGACUGGUAAGGGCUUCAGCAACCCUGCCGGCAAUUUAGUUUCAUUUUUUGCUUGCUGACAAAUGGAACAGCACAUAACAUAGUUCUUGAUAUCCUUCUGCAUAUUGGGCCAAUAAAAAUUAGAGCAAAUACACUCCACUGUCUUUGCAAUGCCCGAAUGACCACCAAUGGAGCUAUCAUAGUACUCCUUUAAAAUAAUGUUUUUUAGGUUACUCGUAGAGGGUACAACCACUCUAUUUCAUCAUAAAAGAAUCCCAUUUCGACAAAUGUAGUUGCUGUCCUGCAUGUUGUUAUUAAGGCACCUUUGCUUAAUGGAAUUCCAAUGUUCAUCCUGCUCAAUAUCAUUUUGUAAGAGUUGCAGCCACUCUAAUUUCAGUGACGACCAAGCAGCAAAGAAACUUCGAGAAAGCGCAUCCGUAACAACAUUCUCUUUGCCCGAUGUGUACUGAAUUUCAAAAUCAUAACCAAGUAAUUUGUGCAACCAUUUCUGCUGUUCAGGUGUGUGUAAAUUCUGGGUCAAUAAUGCCUUAAGGCUUUGCUGAUCUGUUUUGAUAAUGAAUCGCUUACCCAACAGGUAGUGCUGGAACUUGGCUACGGCCUCUGUGAUCGCAUAAAUUCUCUAGUAUACGUUGACUGACGCUGCAUCGUAGGAACCAAUUUCUUAGAGAAAUAAGCAAUUGGAUACUUCCCUUGGGACAGAACUGCUCCAAUCCCCACGCCUGAAGCAUCACAUUCAAUUACAAAUGGUAACAAAAAAUUCGGUAGUGCCAGGACAGGUUUAGAAGUAACAGCAGCUUUGAGUUCCUGCAAUGCUCUUUCAGCCUUAUCACUCCACUGAAAACUGUCCUUUUUUAAUAAAUCAGUGAGGGGGGCUGCCAUAGAAGCGUAACCUUUGAUGAAUCGUCGAUAAUACCCCGUAAGGCCCAAGAAUCCGCGUAACUGCUUCAGAUUCUGUGGCUGCUGCCAAUCCAAGAUCGCCUGCACCUUGUCCUUCUCCAUAUGGACACCAUUACCCAAGAUCGUGUGGCCUAAGUAAUCAAUCUCUGUCACACCAAAUAAACAUUUUGACAACUUGGCAAAUAAAGUUUCCCUUUGCAGCACUUGCAAUACUGUCUCAAGGUGCUGGAGAUGAGAAUUCCAGGAAGGACUAUAAACAAGAAUAUCAUCGAAAAACACUAAAACAAACUUUCGCAAGUAAGGGCGGAAAACGUCAUUCAUUAGGCCUUGAAAUGUAGCUGGCGCAUUCGUCAAUCCAAAUGGCAUUACUAGCCAUUCAUAGUGCCCUUGGUGGGUCCUAAAUGCCGUCUUGUAUCUAUCCGCAAGAUGCACCAAGAUUUGAUGAUAACCAGACUUUAAGUCCAAUUUAGAAAACACAGUAGCACCAAACAGUUUAUCCAAGAGUUCAUCAACAGUUGGUAUCGGAAAGCAGUCCUUAGUAGUGAUGUUAUUCAAAGCCCUAAAUCCGUACAAAAUCGCCAAGUUCUAUCUUUCUUUUUAACUAAUAAUAUCGGAGAAGAAAAAGGACUCUUACUAGGUCGAAUGAUGCCGUCAUCCAACAUUUGCUGCACCAUCUCUUCAAUUUGGGCCUUUUGACUGUGUGGGUAGCGAUAUAGAUAAACUUUAACUGGAGUGGCUUCUGCAACUAGAGGAAUGCAAUGAUCGUGGUCCCUCUACGGUGGUAGGCCAGUAGGUUGAGCAAACACCUUCGAAUAAGACUGCAGUAAUGCAGCCAAAUCUGGCCUGAUAUCCUGGGGUUAGGGGUGUCCGCGGAUCGGAUCGGAUCGGAUAUGGCCGAAAAUUGAUCCGAUCCGCACAAUUUUCAUCGGAUCGGAUCGGAUAUGAUAUCCGCACUUUUUAGUGCCGGAUCCGAUCCGAUCCGAUCCGCACAUUUGCGGAUCGGAUCGGAUCGGAUAUAUCCGCAUAAUUAAACCUUCUCUUUUUAAUCAUAUUUCUAUGUAAAAGAAUUCAAUAAAAAUAUUUCUUUCAUACUUUUAAACUUAUUUAUUCCUAAAAUAUUUUUAAUCAAACUAUCUCUAAAUAACAAAAAUAAAAUAAUACAAUAUAUGAAUAAUAAUUACUAACUAAAACAUACAAACAAGUAAAUAUAAUACCAAACAUAUAUAUUUAUUUAUUUUUUAAUUAUUAUAGUGCGGAUCUGCGGAUCCGCGGAUCGGAUACGCGGAUGUAGAGUAGAUAUCCGCGAUCCGAUCCACAAAGGGUGCAGAUCGGAUCGUAUCCGCAAUUUUCGGAUCGGAUGCGGAUAUUUACCGCGGAUCUGCGGAUACGAUCCGAUCCAUGGACACCCCUACCUGGGGUAGUUGCACAGAAUCACCACCUGUAGCUGUUGUCUUAUGAACUUGAAUGGUAAAUGCUUCAGCAAUUGCAUUGGUGUGGACCAUUCGCUUAAUAUGAUGGAAUUGAGCCGGAGCUGGCAUGUGAGAUUUGUCCCCAAAAACUGUCACAAACUUUCCAUCAUGAAGAAACCUGAUAAAUGAAGAAUCAUAGUCGACGAUAUGGGCCUUUAAUGUUUUUAACCAAGUCGUGCCAAUAACCAAAUCACCGCCGGCAACAUGUAGUACAUAAACUUUAGGAAUAUCCACCUUAAUACAUUGCAUUGUUACCUCCAAAGUAGGAAUACACCCCUCCACUGUCAUCAUAUCAAAAUUACCCACCAUAACUCUAAACCCAGGUGCUGGCUGCACUGGUAAGUUCAAAAAUUGGGCGAUUCUGGGUUGUAUGAAACUGUGGGAACUCCCACCAUCAAUCAAAGCUUGGAUUUCCACCCCAUUAAUGAAUGCUUUGAUGCGAAUAGUAGCGGGGCCAGAAUUGCCAUUCAUUGCAUUGUAAGACAGAUGGUGAUCAACCACCUGCUGAUCCAAUUGUGGCAACAACUCUGGAACUGUAGCAAUAGCAGUCAUAGGUUCCUCUAUAGCCUGUUCCUCAUCCUCCUCCAGCUGAAGCAACAUCAAAUGCUUAUGUGGGCAUUUGUGGCCAGGAAAAAAAUUUUCAUCACACCAAUAGCACAGACCUUUAUCGCGUCUAUUUUGAAUCUCAGCUGAAGUGAGUCGCUUGACUUGGUUACGAUUGGGGUUUGGUAGAGUUCUCAGAGGCGGUGUAGGUAAUAGAGGUGGUAAAGGUUGUCUGGGUGGGGUUCUGUUGGAAGUGUUUGAGGUUUGUGGUUGGAGUGGCGGACGAGAGAUUGAUGGACCAUGUGAUGGUUUAGUGUUGGUGGCAAAUUUAUCCUCGUAGAGGCGAGCUAAACUGAUAGCUCUCAUUAAUGAAGGAGGGCACUGUGCUUUAACUUCUCGUCGCACAUCAGGUUUCAACCCACUGAUGAAGCAGUCCCGUAGGGCAUCCGGGGGCUCGACGUUGGUGUGAUUUUCCAGAGCCACAAAUUCAGAACAGUAUUCAGUAACCGAGCCACUCUGCUGCAGCUUAAACAAAAUCUCGCGAGGAGAUUCGAACAUAGAAGGCCCAAACUCAAUUUCAAUCGCUCGUUUCAGCUGAUUCCAAGAGCGAAAUGGUGCGGUACAUUGCGACAUUUGAAACCAAGGUAUCGCCAUCCCUGACAUGUGAAUCGCGGCAAUCCCGAUUUGUUCCUCCUCUGGCACACGGUAAAAUUCAAAGUACUAAUCAACAGAGAAUAUCCAUCCCAAUGCGUCUGUGCCAUCGAACUUGGGAAGAUCAAAGUUCAUCCUACGAUGCGGUUGCGCAUUCCGAGUAUGUUCAUAACUCGAGCUCGACCCAUGAGGCGGAUGCUAAUGCGUAGAGGAUUCCUGGUUAAUGAGUUGUGCGAUGGAGGCCUGGAUAGCAUCGAACUUGGAGUUAGACAACUCAGUAGCGCGGGCUCGCUCCGCACGGGUUUCGUCUAUCACAUCCUCUAACAUCUGAAAUAAUUUUUUUUAUGUCAGCCUCCAUGCCCUUCAUACGUGUGUUAUCCGCGACUGCCAUGGUCAAUGAAAGCACCAAAUGGUAGGGUAUGAUGCAACUGACUUUUAUGAUGACUUAAAAAAAAGAAAUGAAAGUACAGUAAUGGAAAAGGGUUCUGCAGCUCUUCAAUGAAAUAGUACAGAAAGGAACUAUUAAAAGGUAGUCAUUGUAAAAGUAAGCAAAAGAUAAUAAAGCGGUAUAAUAAUCGAGGAGAAUCGCAGGAUAGCUUCCAAGAUUCAGCAAUGUCCUGGGAAAGGGAGAAAGAAAAUUCAGAAUGAUUUCAGAGAAGGUACACAGAGAGAGGUUCAGAGAGAGUCAGAGAAAGUAAGAGAGAGAUGACCAAUUACCACAAGUUCCUUACCCAACAAACUCCUCCAGCCUCCUAUUAAAAGUUCUUUCUCUCUUGCCUUUUCUCACUUCCUGAAUUGGUGGAUUUUGCGCCAUCUGUCCACUCUGCAUAACUAACUCCUUUUCUUCAUUGAGUGCCAGCUGCUCCUCAUUGUUGGAGACUAAUUCAUCAUUAAAGUAAGGAUUUGAAAUUUUAAAUCAGCAAAACCAAGGAUUUGAAAUUUUAAAUCAGCAAAACAAAGAAAUUCAUCAUUAAAGACUAAUUCAUCAUUAAAGAUGAAUGUGGAGGAAAAACAGUUAUUGCUAUCUGAAAUUUUAAAUCAGCAAAACCAAGGAUUUGAAAACAUCAGACUAGAAAGCCAUGAUGCUUCAUUUCUUGAAAGCAAUAAAUUCGGAUCUGUGUCUACUUCAAGUUUGUACCAUUAAUAUGAAAGUAAAAUGGCGGCUCUGAUAAGGAAAAAUGGAAUUCUAGAGGGACAACUGGCGGCUUCCCUCGCAAACAAAGAAGCCGCAGAGAAAAGCUUAGCAUCUGCUAUUAAAAGCCGGAACGAAAUGGAGACAAAACUAGGCGAGGCACUGAAGGAGAUGGAAUCACUGAGAGAAAAGCUGGGGGGUUUAGAGUUAGCACAAGAGGAGGCUAACAACCUAUCAAGCAUGGUCCAUUCGGAUAAUGUACGGCUCGAACACGAUGUGGCCUUCUUCAAGGCUGUUUGGUAGCGUUUGUUUUGAGGUACUAAGAUAGAGACUGGGAGACUGAAACUCAGUAUCAUGUUUGUUGGUUCAAAGACUGGUAUUAAAUUUUCUGUCUCUGUCCCUAAAAUUUCAGUAUUUCAGUACCUCCAGAAUGUAGGAACACAGGAGACUAAAAUUUUUAGAGAUGGAGACUGAAACUUUAAUAACAUUUUAUACCUAAAAUAUCCUCAUUUCAAUUAAUUAAUUCCAAUUUUACCUUUUGUACAAAUUAAAUUAGAGUUUUAUUCUUAUUUUAAUUUCUAUCUCCCACUUUGCACCAAACAGAAUACUGAGAUUUAUUUCAAUCUCUGUCUCUUAGUUUCUAUCUCUCAGUCUCAGUCUUUCCGUCUCUGUCUCUCCACCAAACGUUUAGAUGAUACACAAAAGGUACAUAACAUUAACACACUUUGAUGGAAAAAAGCACUUGGAUCAAUCAUUUUAUACAAUAAUGUAAUCGGCUGAUUGAGUUUUUGUUGUAGGAGCUGCACUCAACCAGAGGUGUGAUUGCUGGAGAGAGAGCCAGGGCAUUCCAACUACAGGUAUAAAUAAUAAAUAUAACUAUUUGUAUUGAUUACUAGCCUUAGCUGUAUCAUUCAUAACAUCACUUUCUUGUUGUACACAGUAUGAAGUAUUUCAUCUCAAACAGAGAUUGCAAUCAGUGGAGAAUCGAGAACCUACUCCAAGGAAACCUUUUGAUCUGCAGUGAAGUGAAGUGGGUAGUUGAAGAGUAGUUACUAAUAACCAUUUAAAUCAGUUAAUGUGAUCUUUAUUUAUUUAUUUAUUUUUUAACAAUUUGUGAUCCAGUGAUAUAGUGGGUAAUGGUAACUGCCAUUAUGUUAAUGUGAAUAAACUAACAGGCAGAGGAACGUAAAAAUGGUAUUUGUCUUUUUCUCUUAUUUUAUUUAACUAAAUCUAAUUCCAGUUGCCACCUUAAAAGUUCUGAUAUUGUUUAUUGCUCCUGAACAUUGAAAAAUUAAUGAACUAAACCAGCAAAAUGAAUGCAAAUAUCAAAAGAGAACUCAUAGGCAACUAGACUGAAAUUCAAAAAGGAAUCCACAAAACUCAAGACAUCAAUUUACUAUCCAUUACUGCAAGAUUCAUUUUCUCAUGAUACAGCUUCAAUAAGUCGGGAGCAUGAUCCUUAGCACGAUUAACAUACUUCUUAAAGAAAUCCCCUUCAGAAACAUAAUAUGCAGAAACAUGCCUGCCACUCUUAAUGACACCAUUGGAGAUAAGAAUCUUCAUGACAGCAGCCCUCGGAAAUACCCUUUUGUCCAAAUCCAGCGAGAGAAGAACCGGAUUAUUGGUUACUUCAGCAGGCUCCCAACCGAGUUCUUUGACAAACAAUCCAAUGCAGUCCUCAAUUUUCUGCACAGAUUUCAGCAUACAGAAAGGGUGCUUCACAAAAGCCUCACGAAUGUUGUCAUCAGUUAAUCCAAAACUCUUGUACAACUCAACUUUCUUAUCCCACAUGGACUUUGGAAGAAACUUAGCAUAUAAUGCAGGAACAAAAUUAGACUUGUUGGGAUCAACCCCCAUUUUAAUGACUUCAUCUAUUAUACUCUUAAGGCGAACUUCAGAAGUGUAUAGAAUCAACCAAGGCCACUGGCGAAUUAGCCAUGACAUGCUUAUCUCACGGGCUCCUAAAUCAACCAACAUGUUAAUAUUUCGAAGCGUCCUAGAACAAGUUAAAAUUUGGCCAGCGCGUAAGAUAGAAGCAACGGUCCUUUCUUCAGAACGAAUGAAAUUGUUCAACAAAUCGAAAGUGGGGAUCAGGUGUUUCUCUAAGCUUCUUUUCAAGAUUAGAGGGUUGAGCUCGAUGAGGCGGGCAAGUUGGGAUUUUGAAGCACCUUUGGAGAUGAGGAACUGGAGCUUGGGCAAGAUGGUCUCUUUGGGUUUGCUGACGAGAAGCUGGGGCGAUCUCCGAAUGACAUUGUGAAUCUGCAAAUCUGAGAAACCGAAGCUCCUGAAGAGUGCGAUGACUGAGUCGGGUUUCUCGGGACUCUUUAAAAGGACGUAUUUCGAAGUAUGAAGAGCGGAAUCUGGGAGGAACCCACAAUUUUCCACGAGGUAAUUCACCGUAAAGGAUUGUUUUUCCAGGGUUUUUGUGGCUGUGGCGUAAUUGGGAGCAGGGAAUGGGGAAGAUGGUGAAGGAAUCAGAAAUGAGGUUGAUGGGGUUCUUGUUAUGACAGUAAGGUGGUACAAGAACAGGUUUUUGAGACAAGAUCCCCGCAUGAGUUCUAAUUUUUU